GUGGGGAAUAUUGGACAAUGGGCGCAAGCCUGAUCCAGCCAUGCCGCGUGAGUGAUGAAGGCCUUAGGGUUGUAAAGCUCUUUCAGUGGGGACGAUAAUGACGGUACCCACAGAAGAAGCCCCGGCUAACUUCGUGCCAGCAGCCGCGGUAAUACGAAGGGGGCUAGCGUUGUUCGGAUUUACUGGGCGUAAAGCGCACGUAGGCGGAUCGUUAAGUCGGGGGUAAAAUCCUGGAGCUCAACUCCAGAACUGCCUUCGAUACUGGCGAUCUUGAGUCCGGAAGAGGUGAGUGGAACUCCUAGUGUAGAGGUGGAAUUCGUAGAUAUUAGGAAGAACACCAGUGGCGAAGGCGGCUCACUGGUCCGGUACUGACGCUGAGGUGCGAAAGCGUGGGGAGCAAACAGGAUUAGAAACCCUGGUAGUCC
RNAcentral lists this ribosomal RNA (425 nucleotides) under uncultured bacterium. RNAcentral's name for it is "partial 16S ribosomal RNA". It matches the Rfam family "Bacterial small subunit ribosomal RNA", at positions 354 to 796 of the family's 1533-position model. The record is from RNAcentral.